GUUUGUAGCUCAGUGGUAGAGUGCUUGCAUAGCAUGCCUGAGACCCUGGUUCAAUAUCCAGAACCACAAACA
This 72-nucleotide transfer RNA is filed under the name Marmota monax (woodchuck). RNAcentral describes it as "tRNA.Ala". The record is from RNAcentral. Lineage: Eukaryota; Metazoa; Chordata; Mammalia; Rodentia; Sciuridae.